Molecule: ribosomal RNA, 253 nt
Filed under: uncultured bacterium
Lineage: Bacteria
Description: partial 16S ribosomal RNA
Rfam family: Bacterial small subunit ribosomal RNA
Source: RNAcentral
UACGUAGGUGGCAAGCGUUAUCCGGAUUUACUGGGUGUAAAGGGAGCGUAGGUGGUUUGGUAAGUCAGAAGUGAAAGCCCAGGGCUCAACCCUGGGACUGCUUUUGAAACUAUCAAACUAGAGUGCAGGAGAGGUAAGUGGAAUUCCUAGUGUAGCGGUGAAAUGCGUAGAUAUUAGGAGGAACACCAGUGGCGAAGGCGACUUACUGGACUGUAACUGACACUGAGGCUCGAAAGCGUGGGGAGCAAACAGG